RNAcentral lists this long non-coding RNA (944 nucleotides) under Homo sapiens (human). RNAcentral's name for it is "novel transcript". Lineage: Eukaryota; Metazoa; Chordata; Mammalia; Primates; Hominidae. The record is from RNAcentral.
GCCAGAAGAGAAGACUCAACUCUUUGCAGAAAACAGAAACUGCCUUUGAGUAGAGAAGGGCUGAGAAGGAAGAUGCUAAGGAUAUUCUGAGGGGUGAUCAGAAGAUUCCUUGAGUGCAGGGGGGCAGGCAAGGGGUAGAAAGAAACUGUUGUCACAGAGUCAUAAAAUUCUAAGCCACUGCAAUCUCCAGGCUGGACUUGAUUUUGUGACAGUGUCUCCUUUUUGUGGGCUGUAGUGUAGUGACAAGUUCUUUUGCUGUUUUUCCACUCCGUGCCUUUGCUGAAAGUCUGCCGCACUGGCACAUGAAGUGGAAACUCCCUCUUUGAAUGCAGCAGCAUUGGAUAAUUGUGGAUGUUCUGUGGCGCCGCACCACGACUUGAUCACCAGUUGUUUCUUCAGGGCAAGGGUCUCACUCUGUCACCCAGGCUGGAGUAGAGUGGUACAAUCACAGCUCACUGCAGCCUCAAACUCCCAGGCUCAAGUAUCCUCCUACCUCAGCCUCCCAAGUAGCUGUAACUACAGUGACUGAUCAGGCUUUUGUCACACUGGCCACAGAUGACAUCUACUGCCAGGGCGCCCUGGUCCUGGGGCAGUCACUGAGGAGACACAGGCUGACGAGGAAGCUGGUGGUGUUGAUCACUCCUCAGGUGUCCAGCCUGCUCAGGGUCUUACCGUGUUGCUUAGGCUGGAGUGCAGCGGCACCGUCAGGGCUCACAGCAGUCUUGACCUCCCAGGCUCAAGUCAUCCUCUUGCCUCAGCCCCGCUAGUACCUGGGAUGACAGACUUGCACGACCAUGCACAGGGAACACGCAGCCUUAUUGCCACGUACCUGUCCUGGGGCACCUUGCCGCCUGCCAGCUGGACCACAGGAGGGAACACGUCCAUCAGGCUCGUGGGCUCUCCAAUCACUCAGCCAGCCAGGAGCACCCUGGGCCAGUGGAAAA